UAUGAUCACAUCACGUUGAAACACUGGAUCUCACACGAUCUACCGAAGUUAAGCAACGUCAAAACUGGUCAGUACCUAGAUGGGUGACCACUUGGGAAUACCAGGUGCUGUAAG
This is a non-coding RNA of Acanthosepion pharaonis, 114 nucleotides long. The record is from the annotation of a GenBank genome assembly. NCBI's taxonomy places the organism in Eukaryota, Metazoa, Mollusca, Cephalopoda, Sepiida, Sepiidae.